UUUAUUCAUUGUCGAUCCUACAAUGGAUUAUAGUUUCUGUAAAUUGAUGUUAAGUUUUAUUAUUUUAGAGUUUGAUUUAAUUUCAUGUGUUUACGGAGAAGCAGGUGUUUGCCGUAAGAAAGUAUGGCGUGGGAACGAAUAUGUGGACGAACAAUACUGCUGUGCAAACUACGAAAUAAAAAAUGGGACUUGUACAGUAUGUGAAAAAGGUUUCAUGUCUAAAGAUGGAGGUAGUUGUCAGCAAUGUAGAAGGGAAAACUAUGGUGCAAAAUGCCUCCAUUCAUGCAGCUGCACGGAACA
Mytilus californianus (California mussel) is the source of this 300-nucleotide long non-coding RNA. RefSeq lists it as uncharacterized. Lineage: Eukaryota; Metazoa; Mollusca; Bivalvia; Mytilida; Mytilidae. The transcript is spliced from 3 exons. The record is from RefSeq and is a predicted model, not a curated record.